RNAcentral lists this long non-coding RNA (1636 nucleotides) under Medicago truncatula (barrel medic). RNAcentral's name for it is "long non-coding RNA (MTRU_LNC001406)". Lineage: Eukaryota; Viridiplantae; Streptophyta; Magnoliopsida; Fabales; Fabaceae. The record is from RNAcentral.
GUCAGUGUCACACUCGCCAACGCACAGGUUGUCAUUAUGAUUUAGCACGUUCCUUCUUACCAAAUUUGAUUUUGUCGGAAUUCUGUUUUGAAGUAAGUACAAAAAUGAUUAUUUAUAACUUUUUAUAACAAAAAUAGAACGUUACAAUAUUUAAAAAAAAUACUAAUUAUUUGAUAGAUAAUAGAUACAAUACAAGAUAUAUAUGACUUUUAUGUAUGUGUGUAAAACAAAGAAAGUACAAGAAUAGAUGAAAAUACAUUAGAGAUCAAUAAAUAAUUAAUGUUGAUGUUACUCGUCUAAAUUUUAAGUGGUAGCUAAUAUAAUUUAUAUAAAAUAAUUAAGAAAAUAUAUAAUUUAUAACUUUUUAUAACAAAAAUAGAACGUUACAAUAUUUUAUACGAUUAUUUAAAAAAAAAAUACUAGUUAUUUGAUAGAUAAUAGAUACAAUAUAAGAUAUAUAUGACUUUAAAAUUUAUAAUUAUUUUGUAUUUCUCCAACCCAAACAAAAUCACUUUAUAUUUCUAACAUUAUAAUUUUAAUUUUCACAUAACAUGUAUCGCUUUAAAAAUCAUAUUUAAUACAAUAAGGAUAAUGAAGAUAGUGAUGUCCUACAUAUAGUUGAUGUUGUUGUUUAUGAUUGAAAUGUAUGAUUAUAAAAGUCAUAUUUUAUUUUUGGUAUAAUCUAAGAAUCAUAUUUACUUCAUGAGAAAGAUAAAAAAUCAAUUGUUUGUUAUUUAGCUAAUAUUUUAAACGUGGAAUUAGUCACUUUAGUCCAUGAAUGAGAAAAGAGUAGUCACUUUAGCCGCCGAAUGCUGAGAAAUUGCAAAACAGUCCCUGAAUGUAGACUUUAUUGGUCAAUUUCAGCGACUAAAGUGAUUAACAAAGUCUACAUUCAGGGACUAAAUUGACGAACAGAGUCUGCAUUCAGGGACUAAAUUGACUAACAGAGUCUACAUUCAGAGACUAUUUAGCAAUUUAUCUACAUUCAGUGACUAAAGUGAAGACUCAUUUCUUAUUUAAGGACUAAAGUGACUAAUCUCCCUAUUUUAAACCGAAUACCAUGCGAAUUAACAUAUUUACCCUUAAUGUUUUCAGACACGUGAGAAAUGCAUAUGCAAGAAGAGUCACACUGACACGGAAGCUGUAUUGAUGGCUGCUACUAAACCAACCACUAAACGUCGUCGUUUAAGUGCUGUAUAAAAAAUAUAAUGUAAUGAAAAAUUACCUGAACGCAUAAGCAGCCGCCAAAAAGAGUGAUAAUCACUUUCAGAAGCAGAACAACUCAAAACGAUGGCGUUUUCAUCUUCAAUCACAACCAUACCACAAACCCUAAACUUCACUUCCUCUAACAAACUCUCACUCUCUUCUUCAACGACGUCGUUUCAUCUCUCAUUUCCUUCAUUUCAAUCCAACUCCUUCAAAACUAUCACCACCACCUCUCCACAUAUCACACGCGCCCACGCGCCACCUUCUCCCGUUACCACCACCGCUGCUUCAUCUUUUCACGGUCUCUGCUAUGUCGUCGGUGAUAACAUCGACACUGAUCAAAUCAUCCCUGCUGAGCAUCUUACAUUAGUUCCUUCCAAUCCUGAUGAGUAUCAGAAGCUUGGUUCGUUUGCCUUAAUCGGACUUCCUG